AAUGAACGCUGGCGGCGCGCCUAAUACAUGCAAGUCGAGCGAGAAGACGUAGCAAUACGUUUGUAAAGCGGCGAACGGGUGAGGAAUACAUGGGUAACCUACCCUCGAGUGGGGAAUAACUAGCCGAAAGGUUAGCUAAUACCGCGUACGCUCCUUGGACUUCGGUUCAGGGAGGAAAGCGAUACCGUGGGUAUCGCGCUCUUGGAUGGGCUCAUGUCCUAUCAGCUUGUUGGUGAGGUAACGGCUCACCAAGGCUUCGACGGGUAGCUGGUCUGAGAGGACGAUCAGCCACACUGGCACUGCGACACGGGCCAGACUCCUACGGGAGGCAGCAGUAAGGAAUAUUGCGCAAUGGGCGAAAGCCUGACGCAGCGACGCCGCGUGGGGGAGUGAAGGUCUUCGGA
RNAcentral lists this ribosomal RNA (404 nucleotides) under uncultured bacterium. Its description in RNAcentral is "bacterial SSU rRNA". It matches the Rfam family "Bacterial small subunit ribosomal RNA", at positions 29 to 422 of the family's 1533-position model. The record is from RNAcentral.